GCAGAUUCACAGAACAUUGAUACGUCUCGUGGUUUCUCGUCUAGCAGAUUUGACCACGCCUUUUAUUUACAUCUCAUGGCGCUGUGUGAAUGAACACCUUGGAGAGGAGGACCACUGAAAAUCCCCUUUGCAAUGAGAGUGACAAACGCCAUUAAUGGAUGAAUAAACCAAUAAAUGCAGUAUUAAUCAUAUGAAUCCGUGUCACCGCUCCGAUUAUUACGGUGGUAAUGGCAGCUGUGAGUCUGACGGAUCCGCUUUGCAAACCUUGCUCUUACAGCCCACGUUUUAAAGUUGAGGUGUGCUUGAGGAAGCCCUUGAUGCCCAUCCACCUGAGCAGUGAGCAGGUGGCACUGGAGAUGCUGUGUCUCUGCAGCCAGUUGGACUUACUGAUCAGAGCUCAGGUCCAUCAGGGGCAGCUCAAACAGGACACAAGUCCUGAAGAGACUGAGUGUUUUCAAAAACAAGGGGCAGAGAUAAUAUAUCGGAUGAACCAGUGCCUUGAACAUCUCAAUGAACCGGUGCUUCAGUUUGAGGAGUGUUUGGAUGUUGUAGGAUUAUCUACUCUGUUCCCUCGAGUGGAAGUUUAUAUGAUACAUGGCAGCCCUGUUGACAUGUUGGAAAGACCACCUUCAGAUGCUUAUUUUCCUCAUAUUGGGAGGCUGAAUCAGCUGCUGGUUCUCAGUCAGCAGUUAGAUGAAGAUGUGAAGCAUCUGGGCAGUCAUAAGUACAUCGCACAUCAGCUAUCAGCAAUUUAUCAAGUCCUAAACUCUCUCAAAGAUAUUUUGCCAUUAUCCAUCAUAAGAAAGGAUAUUGAGGCUAAUUUCAAGCAGCUGAAGAUGUCUCUUUCGACAGAGGAAGGGUCCAAGCUGGAUCCUCAGUUGCCAGCACAUCACGUGAGCUGGGUGUCAGAAUUAACACAAAACGUGAUAUCGACGGUACUGUCACUCUCAGAAGAGCUCACCGAAGACCUCAAUCCAGUCAUGGAAUUUGUCUCUAACCUCUCGUAACAGCUAGAUCUACAGUGCCUGAAGUGGAUGGUGAGAAAUUGUCACGGAAUGAAGUGAUUCCCUUGAAAAAUGUUUUGUCUUUUUUUGAUUUAUUCAUCUGUAC
Molecule: long non-coding RNA, 1110 nt
Filed under: Sinocyclocheilus anshuiensis
Lineage: Eukaryota; Metazoa; Chordata; Actinopteri; Cypriniformes; Cyprinidae
Description: lncRNA (ENSSANG00000050419.1)
Source: RNAcentral